UAGGGAAUCUUCGGCAAUGGACGAAAGUCUGACCGAGCAACGCCGCGUGAGUGAAGAAGGUUUUCGGAUCGUAAAACUCUGUUGUUAGAGAAGGACGUUGCAUAGAGUGGAAAAUUAUGCAAGUGACGGUAUCUAACCAGAAAGGGACGGCUAACUACGUGCCAGCAGCCGCGGUAAUACGUAGGUCCCGAGCGUUGUCCGGAUUUAUUGGGCGUAAAGCGAGCGCAGGUGGUUUAAUAAGUCUGAUGUAAAAGGCAGUGGCUCAACCAUUGUGUGCAUUGGAAACUGUUAGACUUGAGUGCAGUAGAGGAGAGUGGAAUUCCAUGUGUAGCGGUGAAAUGCGUAGAUAUAUGGAGGAACACCGGUGGCGAAAGCGGCUCUCUGGACUGUCACUGACACUGAGGCUCGAAAGCGUGGGUAGCAAACAGGAUUAGAUACCCUGGUAGUCCACGC
Molecule: ribosomal RNA, 453 nt
Filed under: uncultured bacterium
Lineage: Bacteria
Description: partial 16S ribosomal RNA
Rfam family: Bacterial small subunit ribosomal RNA
Source: RNAcentral